This 573-nucleotide ribosomal RNA is filed under the name bacterium enrichment culture clone F8 1.705-A7. Its description in RNAcentral is "bacterial SSU rRNA". It matches the Rfam family "Archaeal small subunit ribosomal RNA", at positions 1 to 583 of the family's 1478-position model. The record is from RNAcentral.
UUCCGGUUGAUCCCGCCGGAGGUUACUGCUAUCGAGGUUCGACUAAGCCAUGCGAGUCGAAUGUAGCAAUACAUGGCGAACUGCUCAGUAACACGUGGACAACCUGCCCUUAGGUUGGGUAUAAACCCGGGAAACUGGGUAUAAUACCCGAUAGGUCUCGAUUACUGGAAUGCAUCGAGAUUUAAAGCUCCGGCGCCUAAGGAUGGGUCUGCGGCCUAUCAGGUAGUAGUGGGUGUAGCGUACCUACUAGCCUACGACGGGUACGGGUUGUGAGAGCAAGAGCCCGGAGAUGGAUUCUGAGACACGAAUCCAGGCCCUACGGGGUGCAGCAGGCGCGAAAACUUUACAAUGCUGGCAACAGCGAUAAGGGAACCUCGAGUGCCAGGUUACAAAUCUGGCUGUCGAGAUGCCUAAAAAGCAUUUCAUAGCAAGGGCCGGGCAAGACCGGUGCCAGCCGCCGCGGUAACACCGGCGGCUCGAGUGGUAACCGUUAUUAUUGGGUCUAAAGGGUCUGUAGCCGGCCGGAUAAGUCUCUUGAGAAAUCUGGCAGCUUAACUGUCAAAUCCCGCGGCC